UACGUAGGGUGCGAGCGUUGUCCGGAAUUAUUGGGCGUAAAGAGCGCGUAGGCGGUCCGAUAAGUCGGCUGUGAAAGUCAGGGGCUCAACCCUUGAAAGCCGGCCGAUACUGUCGGACUAGAGUCCGGAAGAGGCAAGUGGAAUUCCCGGUGUAGCGGUGAAAUGCGCAGAUAUCGGGAGGAACACCCGUGGCGAAGGCGGCUCUCUGGGACGUGACUGACGCUGAGACGCGAAAGCGUGGGGAGCGAACAGG
Molecule: ribosomal RNA, 253 nt
Filed under: uncultured bacterium
Lineage: Bacteria
Description: partial 16S ribosomal RNA
Rfam family: Bacterial small subunit ribosomal RNA
Source: RNAcentral